UGUCCAAGGAUGGGAAUCGAACCCACAGUGUUCCGCUUACCGGGCAGAUGCCAUGUCCACUAGGCUUUUAACAAAGAU
RNAcentral lists this transfer RNA (78 nucleotides) under Cordylochernes scorpioides. RNAcentral's name for it is "tRNA-Thr". Lineage: Eukaryota; Metazoa; Arthropoda; Arachnida; Pseudoscorpiones; Chernetidae. The record is from RNAcentral.